UACAUGGGGUGCAAACGUUGCUCGGAAUUAUUGGGCGUAAAGCGCACGUAGGCGGUCGCUUAAGUCGGAUGUGAAAGCCCUCGGCUCAACUGAGGAAGUGCAUCCGAAACUGAGUGGCUAGAGUAUGGUAGAGGGUCGCGGAAUUCCCGGUGUAGAGGUGAAAUUCGUAGAUAUCGGGAGGAACACCAGUGGCGAAGGCGGCGACCUGGGCCAAUACUGACGCUGAGGUGCGAAAGCGUGGGGAGCAAACGGG
This 253-nucleotide ribosomal RNA is filed under the name uncultured bacterium. RNAcentral's name for it is "partial 16S ribosomal RNA". It matches the Rfam family "Bacterial small subunit ribosomal RNA", at positions 524 to 776 of the family's 1533-position model. The record is from RNAcentral.